GAUGAACGCUGGCGGCGUGCCUAACACAUGCAAGUCGAACGGAGAUUACGGACGGAAGUUUUCGGAUGGAAGCCUGUAAUUCUUAGUGGCGGACGGGUGAGUAACGCGUGGGCAACCUGCCCUAUACAGGGGGAUAGCAGCUGGAAACGGCUGGUAAGACCGCAUAAGUCGGUUAAAUCGCAUGAUUUGAUCGGGAAAUGAGCAAUCAGGUAUAGGAUGGGCCCGCGUCCGAUUAGCCAGUUGGCAGGGUAAAAGCCUACCAAAGCGACGAUCGGUAGCCGGACUGAGAGGUCGGACGGCCACAUUGGGACUGAGACACGGCCCAAACUCCUACGGGAGGCAGCAGUGGGGGAUAUUGCACAAUGGAGGAAACUCUGAUGCAGCGACGCCGCGUGAGUGAAGAAGUAUUUCGGUAUGUAAAGCCCUAUCAGCAGGGAAGAUGAUGACGGUACCUGACUAAGAAGCCCCGGCUAACUACGUG
This 481-nucleotide ribosomal RNA is filed under the name uncultured bacterium. RNAcentral describes it as "partial 16S ribosomal RNA". It matches the Rfam family "Bacterial small subunit ribosomal RNA", at positions 28 to 507 of the family's 1533-position model. The record is from RNAcentral.